This 309-nucleotide unclassified non-coding RNA is filed under the name plant metagenome. RNAcentral's name for it is "partial contains 5.8S ribosomal RNA, internal transcribed spacer 2, and large subunit ribosomal RNA". The stretch from base 1 to 105 matches the Rfam family "5.8S ribosomal RNA", at positions 50 to 154 of the family's 154-position model. The record is from RNAcentral.
GAAAUGCGAUAAGUAGUGUGAAUUGCAGAAUUCAGUGAAUCAUCGAAUCUUUGAACGCACAUUGCGCCCCUUGGUAUUCCAUGGGGCAUGCCUGUUCGAGCGUCAUUUGUACCCUCAAGCUCUGCUUGGUGUUGGGUGUUUGUCCCGUCUCCGCGCGUGGACUCGCACCAAAGUGAUUGGCAGCCGGCGUACUGGUCCCGGAGCGCAGCACAUGUCGCGCAAACGAGUGCCUUGGUACGGCGGCGUCCAUAAGCCCCUCUCUCACGCUCUUGACCUCGGAUCAGGUAGGGAUACCCGCUGAACUUAAGC